AUAUUUAGAAAUCUUAACCUAAAGGGUCUAUAAUCCAUCAUUACACAGAAAAUUCCCUUACUACAAAUCCAAAUUCAUAGAAAAUUUGUCAUUCCUCAAUAACCAUAAAACAGAAUUAGAAACAAAAAUUGAUCUAAGAAUUGUGACAAAAUAGCAGAAACAGUUUCAAACAGAAUUAGAAACAAAAUUGAUCUAAGCUAAGUAACCUAAACUCAAAGUCACCUAAAAAUGUAGAAUUUAAACAGUAUCACACAAUUGUGUGGUUUUCAAUGAAAAAUGAAAACUUUAAUGGAUAAAAAAAACUGAGAGAUAAUUUUGUGUGGGGAUUAAUCAAAAUAAACAAAAGGGUAGCAUUUAAAUUAAGAUAUGGUGAAAGAAGCGUGUAAAAUAGAAAAUAAUAAACAAUUGCAGCAAAAAGAAGAGACUAAACAAAUAAUAAUAUAGUAUCGCCUGAAAGAAAUGAAGGAAUGGAGGAAGAAGAAUAAGCAGUGUUGUUGUAGUCAGAGAAACAAC
RNAcentral lists this long non-coding RNA (513 nucleotides) under Trifolium pratense (red clover). RNAcentral's name for it is "long non-coding RNA (TPRA_LNC001882)". Lineage: Eukaryota; Viridiplantae; Streptophyta; Magnoliopsida; Fabales; Fabaceae. The record is from RNAcentral.